This 386-nucleotide ribosomal RNA is filed under the name Erebia meolans (piedmont ringlet). RNAcentral describes it as "partial 16S ribosomal RNA". The record is from RNAcentral. Lineage: Eukaryota; Metazoa; Arthropoda; Insecta; Lepidoptera; Nymphalidae.
GUCUUUUUGAAUAUAAUUUAAAGUCUAAUCUGCCCACUGAUAAAUAUUAAAGGGCUGCAGUAUUAUGACUGUACAAAGGUAGCAUAAUCAUUAGUUUUUUAAUUGAAAACUUGUAUGAAAGAUUUGAUGAAAUAUUAACUGUCUCUUAUUUUUUGUUAAAACUUUAUUUUUUAGUAAAAAAGCUAAAAUAAUUUUAAAAGACGAGAAGACCCUAUAGAGUUUUAUAUUUAAUUUUAUUUUAAAUUUAUAUUAAAAUUAAUAAUAAAAUGAAAUUAAAUAUUAUAUUGGGGUGAUAGAAAAAUUAAAAUAACUUUUUUUAAAUAGUAAACAUUAAUAAAUGAUUAAAUGAUCCAUUAAUAAUGAUUAUAAGAAAAAAUUACCUUAGG